GGGGAACUCAGGGAACUGAAACAUCUAAGUACCUGAAGGAAGAGAAAGAAAUUCGAUUCCGUAAGUAGCGGCGAGCGAACGCGGAUUAGCCCAAACCAAUAAAGUUUUCUUUGUUGGGGUUGCGGACAUAUCAUAACGAAGAGGUAUCGUAAUUGAAGAGGUUUGGAAAGACCCACCACAGAAGGUAAUAGUCCUGUAUGUUAAACGAGAAGACUUUA
Molecule: ribosomal RNA, 218 nt
Filed under: Clostridioides difficile
Lineage: Bacteria; Bacillati; Bacillota; Clostridia; Peptostreptococcales; Peptostreptococcaceae
Description: partial 23S ribosomal RNA
Rfam family: Bacterial large subunit ribosomal RNA
Source: RNAcentral